RNAcentral lists this ribosomal RNA (329 nucleotides) under uncultured eukaryote. Its description in RNAcentral is "partial 18S ribosomal RNA". It matches the Rfam family "Eukaryotic small subunit ribosomal RNA", at positions 1470 to 1796 of the family's 1831-position model. The record is from RNAcentral.
CCCUUAGAUGUCCUGGGCCGCACGCGCGCUACACUGAGUGUCUGAGAUACGAGUCUGCCUGGUCCGGCAAGGUCUAGGUAAUCGCUAAAAGACGCAUCAUGCUUGGGAUAGAUUAUUGCAAAUAUUAAUCUUGAACGAGGAAUUCCUAGUAAGCGCAAGUCAACAGCUUGCGUUGAUUACGUCCCUGCCCUUUGUACACACCGCCCGUCGCUACUACUGAUUGGAUGUUUAAGCGAGGUUCUCGAACUGCUAGCGACUUGGCUUCGGUGAGGUCGCAGUGUGGGAAGUGAACCUAGCGUUGGUGUCGAGAGGAAGUAAAAGGCGGAACA